RNAcentral lists this ribosomal RNA (413 nucleotides) under Amynthas yunoshimensis. RNAcentral's name for it is "partial 12S ribosomal RNA". It matches the Rfam family "Microsporidia small subunit ribosomal RNA", at positions 752 to 1275 of the family's 1311-position model. The record is from RNAcentral. Lineage: Eukaryota; Metazoa; Annelida; Clitellata; Crassiclitellata; Megascolecidae.
AUUAGAUACCCGUCUAUUCACGACAUAAAUUAACAGUUGAAUAUUACGAACAACAGUUUAAAAUUCAAAGAUUUUGGCGGUGUCUUAUAAAACCAGGGGAACCUGUCUCAUAACUCGAUAAUCCACGUAUACUCAACCUUCUUUAGAUCACAGCAUGUGUACUGCCGUUGUAGGCAUACCUUUAAAAGUAAGUAUGCUGCCAUGACUAAACUCCACGCACAUCAGGUCAAAGUGCAGCUAAUAAGAAGGAGAUGAUGGGUUACAACCCCAAAUAAGAUAAUCAACUAAGAAAUAAAAAAUCUUACGAAAGUGGACUUGGCUGUAAUUAAUUUACAAGUUAAAGAAAUGAAUAAAACUCUAAGACAUGCACACAUCGCCCGUCACUCUACCCUAAAGGGUAGAUAAGUCGUAAC